ACAGCCGUAUCACCCUGUAGCCCAAGACUGGUUGCCCACUGAAGCAGGGUUGACCCUGGUCAGUACCUGGAUGGGAGACCUCCUGGGAAAAAAAGGUUACUGUUUGAA
Molecule: ribosomal RNA, 108 nt
Organism: Sinocyclocheilus grahami
Lineage: Eukaryota; Metazoa; Chordata; Actinopteri; Cypriniformes; Cyprinidae
Source: Ensembl